UGAGGAAUAUUGGACAAUGGUCGGAAGACUGAUCCAGCCAUGCCGCGUGAAGGUUACGGUCCUAUGGAUUUUAAACUUCUUUUGUAUGGAAGCAAUAAGGUGCACGUGUGCAUCGAUGAGAGUACCAUACGAAUAAGCAUCGGCUAACUCCGUGCCAGCAGCCGCGGUAAUACGGAGGAUGCAAGCGUUAUCCGGAUUUAUUGGGUUUAAAGGGUGCGUAGGCGGAUUAAUAAGUCAGCGGUGAAACUCACAGGCUCAACCUGUGCCGUGCCGUUGAAACUGUUUAUCUUGAAUGCGGAUGCUGUGGGAGGAAUGUGUAGUGUAGCGGUGAAAUGCAUAGAUAUUACACAGAACACCGAUUGCGAAGGCAUCUCACAAAGCCGUGAUUGACGCUGAGGCACGAAAGUGUGGGGAUCAAACAGG
This 423-nucleotide ribosomal RNA is filed under the name uncultured bacterium. RNAcentral describes it as "bacterial SSU rRNA". It matches the Rfam family "Bacterial small subunit ribosomal RNA", at positions 355 to 776 of the family's 1533-position model. The record is from RNAcentral.